Dipodomys ordii (Ord's kangaroo rat) is the source of this 82-nucleotide non-coding RNA. NCBI's taxonomy places the organism in Eukaryota, Metazoa, Chordata, Mammalia, Rodentia, Heteromyidae. The record is from Rfam.
ACCACUGAGCCACCUUCCCAGCCCCUUAAAUAAUAUUUUUUAAAGAAUAGUUUUCCAGGGGCUGGGAAGGUGGCUCAGUGGU